This 665-nucleotide long non-coding RNA is filed under the name Homo sapiens (human). Its description in RNAcentral is "HSALNT0155671". The record is from RNAcentral. Lineage: Eukaryota; Metazoa; Chordata; Mammalia; Primates; Hominidae.
GCACAACCCAGGAAUGGCCCUAGGAGCCACCCCUCCAGCUCUGUCCCUGUGGCACCUCUGGGCCGCCCAGCUUGGAACCAUGAGCCCCUCUAGCUGGGCAGCAGGGCCCAGGAGGCCAUCAGUCCAGAAGGGAGUCCUGGGGGAAGAGGCGGUUCUGAGUCUGGCAGGGAGGAGGGUGACCUCCUCACUGGAGGAGGCAUGUGGCUGGUGGGCCUUCCUGAGCCUCAGUUUCCUCAUCUGUGCAGGGGGACUAAAAGUGCUCCCACCUUCUUUGGACAAUGGGGGUUAUGGGAGAGGGGAUGUGGACCUGGGGGAGUCUGUUCAGGCUGAGAGGGGGUGGGGAUGGGGGGAAGGGGCAUGGUUUCCACCAGGGGACCCUGGUGGCACAGAGUGAGCUGAAACCUGGACCCUGGACUCCUAGAGUCCUGCCCAACGCUCUUCCUGAGUCUCUUCACCUCUCCUCCCCUCUGCUCCCACUCUUCCCCAGGCCCUGCCUGCAGGUGCCCCUCUUGGCCCCUUACUUGGUUGUCCUGGAAGUUCUGCUGCAGAGGGACCUUGCUCAGAGGUGGAGUCCUGGGCCUGGGCAUGCAGAGCCCCCAACAGGGCUAGGCCCAGCCACAGGAGACCUAGGGGCAUGAUUUCAGGGCCGAGGAAGCAGGCGCUGU